CUUGCUCUGGCAUACAGAGUUAUUAAUGAACAUCAAAAGUAAAAGUAAAGCCUCAGAAUCUGCGUUAACGUUGUUAUCUUCUGUGUUUCCCUUAGCUUUCAUCGUCACAUUUAAUAAUUCAAGCUUCAGUGCAUCGCAUUUCGCGGUAGAUUUAUUAACUUUAAUUAUAUAGGGGACAUAACAUGUCUAACAAAACAACUGGUCUAGUAAAAUGGUUUAACGAAGAUAAAGGUUUCGGAUUCAUCACUCCAGACAAUGGCGGCGCUGACGUAUUCGUACAUUUCCGUUCAAUCACUUCAGAAGGUUUCAAAACUUUAGCUGAAGGUCAAAAAGUUUCUUUCGAAGUAGAGCAGGGCCAAAAAGGUCCUCAAGCAGCUAACGUUUCUGCUAUCUAAUCUAACUUUGUUAGAAUGACGCAAAUGGUUCACGCCGUUUGCGUCUUU
Molecule: small RNA, 443 nt
Filed under: Shewanella denitrificans OS217
Lineage: Bacteria; Pseudomonadati; Pseudomonadota; Gammaproteobacteria; Alteromonadales; Shewanellaceae
Description: cspA thermoregulator
Rfam family: cspA thermoregulator
Source: Rfam by way of RNAcentral